CUAAGUUUGAUGGCGACCGGCGCACGGGUGAGUAACACGUAUCCAACCUGCCGAUGACUCGGGGAUAGCCUUUCGAAAGAAAGAUUAAUACCCGAUGGCAUAGUUCUUCCGCAUGGUAGAACUAUUAAAGAAUUUCGGUCAUCGAUGGGGAUGCGUUCCAUUAGGUUGUUGGCGGGGUAACGGCCCACCAAGCCUUCGAUGGAUAGGGGUUCUGAGAGGAAGGUCCCCCACAUUGGAACUGAGACACGGUCCAGACUCCUACGGGAGGCAGCAUG
This 275-nucleotide ribosomal RNA is filed under the name uncultured bacterium. RNAcentral's name for it is "partial 16S ribosomal RNA". It matches the Rfam family "Bacterial small subunit ribosomal RNA", at positions 79 to 353 of the family's 1533-position model. The record is from RNAcentral.